GGGCUGGUAGCUCAAUGGUAGAGCAGUUGCCUUUUAAGCAAUUGGUUCCGGGUUCGAAUCCCGGCCGGCCCACCA
This 75-nucleotide transfer RNA is filed under the name Opitutaceae bacterium. Its description in RNAcentral is "tRNA-Lys". It matches the Rfam family "tRNA". Rfam says of the family: Transfer RNA (tRNA) molecules are approximately 80 nucleotides in length. RNAcentral also lists the same sequence under 3 other names. The record is from RNAcentral. Lineage: Bacteria; Pseudomonadati; Verrucomicrobiota; Opitutia; Opitutales; Opitutaceae.